Small nucleolar RNA from Cavia porcellus (domestic guinea pig), 132 nucleotides. Ensembl annotates it as small nucleolar RNA SNORA51. Lineage: Eukaryota; Metazoa; Chordata; Mammalia; Rodentia; Caviidae. The record is from Ensembl.
GGCCUCCUGGUGCUUACCACAGUGUCUUACACUGACUGUAGAGAGAAAAAGGAAGAGGAAGAAUAAACCCACUCCAUCUACACCUUAGUCCAGGUCUUGUGCCCUGUCUGUACUGUGAAUAGAGAAAGAUGG